This 2602-nucleotide ribosomal RNA is filed under the name Clostridium perfringens. Its description in RNAcentral is "partial 23S ribosomal RNA". It matches the Rfam family "Bacterial large subunit ribosomal RNA", at positions 310 to 2925 of the family's 2925-position model. The record is from RNAcentral. Lineage: Bacteria; Bacillati; Bacillota; Clostridia; Eubacteriales; Clostridiaceae.
CAUAAAAGUGGAGGCUAUUGUAACUGAAGAGAACUGGAAAGUUCCACCGUAGAAGGUAAUAGUCCUGUAAGUGAAACGAGAAGACCACGAGUUAUGAUCCAGAGUACCACGAGACACGUGAAACCUUGUGGGAAGCAGGGAGGACCACCUCCCAAGGCUAAAUACUACCUGAUGACCGAUAGUGAAGCAGUACCGUGAGGGAAAGGUGAAAAGAACCCCGGGAGGGGAGUGAAAUAGAACCUGAAACCGUGUGCCUACAACCGCUCAGAGCCCCUUAUGAGGGUGAUGAGGUGCUUUUUGUAGAACGAGCCAACGAGUUACGGUAUGUAGCAAGGUUAAGUACUUAAGGUACGGAGCCGAAGGGAAACCGAGUCUGAAUAGGGCGACUAGUUGCAUGCCGUAGACCCGAAACCGGGUGACCUAUCCAUGGCCAGGUUGAAGCGAGGGUAAAACCUCGUGGAGGACCGAACCACGUUGCUGUUGAAAAAGCAUGGGAUGAGCUGUGGAUAGCGGAGAAAUUCCAAUCGAACCCGGAGAUAGCUGGUUCUCUCCGAAAUAGCUUUAGGGCUAGCGUCGAGUAUGAGUAGUGGAGGUAGAGCACUGAAUGGGCUAGGGGGCAUAGCGCUUACCGAACCUUAUCAAACUCCGAAUGCCACAUACUUUGAGCUCGGCAGUCAGACUACGAAUGAUAAGAUCCGUGGUCAAAAGGGAAACAGCCCAGAUCGUCAGCUAAGGUCCCAAAGUGUAAGUUAAGUGGGAAAGGAUGUGAGAUUUCUAAGACAACUAGGAUGUUGGCUUAGAAGCAGCCAUUCAUUAAAAGAGUGCGUAAUAGCUCACUAGUCGAGAGAUCUUGCGCCGAAAAUGUAACGGGGCUAAACUUACCACCGAAGCUACGGGCUUGAACUUAGUUCAAGCGGUAGGAGAGCGUCGUAACCGGGCUGAAGUCGUACCGUAAGGAGCGGUGGACUGGUUACGAGUGAGAAUGUUGGCAUCAGUAGCGAGAUGUGGGUGAGAAUCCCACAGGCCGAAAACCUAAGGUUUCCUCAGGAAGGUUCGUCCGCUGAGGGUUAGUCGGGACCUAAGCCGAGGCCGAAAGGCGUAGGUGAUGGACAACUGGUUGAUAUUCCAGUACCACUACCAUCGUUAUUAUCGAUGGCGUGACGCAGGAGGAUAGUGUGUGCUAGCUAUUGGAUGCUAGUCUAAGCGUUUAGGCAGUGAGAGUAGGCAAAUCCGCUCUCAUAAUGCUGAGGCGUGAUGGGGAAGGUUCUACGGAACCGAAGUACAUGAUUCCACGCUGCCAAGAAAAGCGUCUAGAGAGAGAAGUAGUGCCCGUACCGCAAACCGACACAGGUAGGUGAGGAGAGAAUCCUAAGGCCGGCGGAAGAAUUACAGUUAAGGAACUCGGCAAAUUGACCCCGUAAGUUCGCGAGAAGGGGUGCCUACGAGAGUAGGCCGCAGAGAAUAGGCCCAAGCAACUGUUUAGCAAAAACACAGGUCUCUGCUAAAGCGUAAGCUGAUGUAUAGGGGCUGACGCCUGCCCGGUGCUGGAAGGUUAAGGGGAACACUUAGCGCAAGCGAAGGUGUGAACUUAAGCCCCAGUAAACGGCGGCCGUAACUAUAACGGUCCUAAGGUAGCGAAAUUCCUUGUCAGGUAAGUUCUGACCCGCACGAAUGGCGUAAUGACUUGGGCACUGUCUCAACUGUAAAUCCGGCGAAGUUGUAGUGCGAGUGAAGAUGCUCGCUACCCGCGAUUGGACGGAAAGACCCCGUAGAGCUUUACUGUAGCUUAGCAUUGAGUUUUGGUAUUGUCUGUACAGGAUAGGUGGGAGACUAGGAAACCAGGGCGUCAGCCUUGGUGGAGUCAACCUUGGGAUACCACCCUGACAGUACUGAAAUUCUAACUGGCGGCCAUGAAUCUGGUCACAGGACAUUGUUAGGUGGGCAGUUUGACUGGGGCGGUCGCCUCCUAAAAAGUAACGGAGGCGCCCAAAGGUUCCCUCAGAACGGUCGGAAAUCGUUCGAAGAGUGCAAAGGCAGAAGGGAGCCUGACUGCGACACCCACAAGUGGAGCAGGGACGAAAGUCGGGCUUAGUGAUCCGGUGGUACCUCGUGGGAGGGCCAUCGCUCAACGGAUAAAAGCUACCUCGGGGAUAACAGGCUGAUCUCCCCCAAGAGUCCACAUCGACGGGGAGGUUUGGCACCUCGAUGUCGGCUCGUCGCAUCCUGGGGCUGAAGUAGGUCCCAAGGGUUGGGCUGUUCGCCCAUUAAAGCGGCACGCGAGCUGGGUUCAGAACGUCGUGAGACAGUUCGGUCCCUAUCCGUCGCGGGCGUAGGAAAUUUGAGAGGAGCUGUCCUUAGUACGAGAGGACCGGGAUGGACUGACCUCUGGUGUACCAGUUGUUCCGCCAGGAGCACAGCUGGGUAGCUAAGUCGGGAAUGGAUAAACGCUGAAAGCAUCUAAGCGUGAAGCCAACCUCAAGAUGAGAUUUCCCAUAGCGUAAGCUAGUAAGAUCCCUUGAAGAACACAAGGUUGAUAGGUCGGGGGUGUAAGCAUGGUAACAUGUUCAGCUGACCGAUACUAAUAGAUCGAGGGCUUGACCAA